GCACCCGUCUUACCCAGCCCUUACUCCUCCUGCGUUUUAGGCAAGAGAACAGCGUACGCAAAGCGCACGCACUGGGAGUUCCCCCGUCACGCUUGCGCGUAUUGCGGAGUUUUCGCGCCUGGUGCACCCCGUAGGG
Molecule: ribosomal RNA, 136 nt
Filed under: uncultured archaeon
Lineage: Archaea
Description: partial 16S ribosomal RNA
Source: RNAcentral